RNAcentral lists this ribosomal RNA (424 nucleotides) under uncultured bacterium. Its description in RNAcentral is "bacterial SSU rRNA". It matches the Rfam family "Bacterial small subunit ribosomal RNA", at positions 359 to 776 of the family's 1533-position model. The record is from RNAcentral.
GAAUUGUUCACAAUGGGCGCAAGCCUGAUGACGCAACGCCGCGUGGAGGAUGAAGGUCUUCGGAUUGUAAACUCCUGUUGCCCGGGACGAACGGCUCCAGCCUAACCCGUUGGCGUGUGACGGUACCGGGGGAGGAAGCCACGGCUAACUCUGUGCCAGCAGCCGCGGUAAUACAGCGGGGGCAAGCGUUGUUCGGAAUUACUGGGCGUAAAGGGCGCGUAGGCGGCCUUCUCAGUCGAACGUGAAAUCCCCGGGCUCAACCCGGGAACUGCGUCCGAUACUGGAAGGCUCGAAUCCGGGAGAGGGAUGUGGAAUUCCAGGUGUAGCGGUGAAAUGCGUAGAUAUCUGGAGGAACACCGGUGGCGAAGGCGACAUCCUGGACCGGUAUUGACGCUGAGGCGCGAAAGCCAGGGGAGCAAACGGG